This 370-nucleotide ribosomal RNA is filed under the name Hypnoidus sp. 1 CMB-2012. Its description in RNAcentral is "partial 16S ribosomal RNA". Lineage: Eukaryota; Metazoa; Arthropoda; Insecta; Coleoptera; Elateridae. The record is from RNAcentral.
UUUAUUGNAGCUGGUAUGAAUGAUUGGACGAGAAANUUGCUGUCUCUAAUAAAUUUAUUUUUGAAAUUAACUUUUGAGUAAGAAGGCUCAAAUUUAUUUUAAAGACGAGAAGACCCUAUAGAGUUUUAUACUGUGAAAAAUUUAAAGUUUUUGGUUAUUUAAUUUUUUUGAUUUUUUUUUGGUAUUUGGUUGGGGUGACUAAAAGAUUCGAUAAACUCUUUUAAUUAAUAAUCAUUUAUUUGUGAAUUUUAAAUCUAAUUUUUUUCAAUUUAAUACAAAUUACCUUAGGGAUAACAGCGUAAUUUCUUUUUAGAGUUCUUAUUGAAAAAGAAGUUUGCGACCNCNNUGUUGAUUUAAAUUGCCNCGGUAU